This 45-nucleotide non-coding RNA is filed under the name Schistosoma mattheei. Lineage: Eukaryota; Metazoa; Platyhelminthes; Trematoda; Strigeidida; Schistosomatidae. The record is from RNAcentral.
AUUCAGCUGAUGAGUCACAAAUAGGACGAAACACGCAUCUUGAAU